This 253-nucleotide ribosomal RNA is filed under the name uncultured bacterium. Its description in RNAcentral is "partial 16S ribosomal RNA". It matches the Rfam family "Bacterial small subunit ribosomal RNA", at positions 524 to 776 of the family's 1533-position model. The record is from RNAcentral.
UACAGAGGUCUCAAGCGUUGUUCGGAUUCAUUGGGCGUAAAGGGUGCGUAGGCGGUUCAGUAAGUCUGCUGUGAAAGUCCAGGGCUCAACCCUGGGAUGCCGGUGGAUACUGCUGGGCUAGAGUACGGAAGAGGCGAGUGGAAUUCCCGGUGUAGCGGUGAAAUGCGCAGAUAUCGGGAGGAACACCUAUUGCGAAGGCAGCUCGCUGGGACGUCACUGACGCUGAGACGCGAAAGCGUGGGGAGCAAACAGG